GGGGAUUUAGCUCAGCGGUAGAGCACUUGCCUAGCAAGCUCAAGGUCCUAGGUUCAAUCCCCA
Molecule: transfer RNA, 63 nt
Filed under: Rattus norvegicus (Norway rat)
Lineage: Eukaryota; Metazoa; Chordata; Mammalia; Rodentia; Muridae
Rfam family: tRNA
About the family: Transfer RNA (tRNA) molecules are approximately 80 nucleotides in length. Their secondary structure includes four short double-helical elements and three loops (D, anti-codon, and T loops).
Source: Rfam by way of RNAcentral